GACGAACGCUGGCGGCGUGCUUAACACAUGCAAGUCGAACGCUGAACCCGCUUCGGUGGGGGAUGAGUGGCGAACGGGAGAGUAACACGUGGGCAACCUGCCCCCGGCUCUGGGAUAACUCCAAGAAAUUGGGGCUAAUACCGGAUGUGACCGCUGGCCGCAUGGUCUGGUGGUGGAAAGGGUUUCCGGCUGGGGAUGGGCCCGCGGCCUAUCAGCUUGUUGGUGGGGUAGUGGCCUACCAAGGCGACGACGGGUAGCCGGCCUGAGAGGGUGACCGGCCACACUGGGACUGAGACACGGCCCAGACUCCUACGGGAGGCAGCAGUGGGGAAUAUUGCGCAAUGGGCGGAAGCCUGACGCAGCGACGCCGCGUGGGGGAUGACGGCCUUCGGGUUGUAAACCUCUUUCAGCAGGGACGAAGCGCAAGUGACGGUACCUGCAGAAGAAGCACCGGCCAACUACGUG
This 465-nucleotide ribosomal RNA is filed under the name uncultured bacterium. RNAcentral describes it as "partial 16S ribosomal RNA". It matches the Rfam family "Bacterial small subunit ribosomal RNA", at positions 28 to 507 of the family's 1533-position model. The record is from RNAcentral.